Molecule: long non-coding RNA, 5920 nt
Filed under: Gossypium raimondii (Peruvian cotton)
Lineage: Eukaryota; Viridiplantae; Streptophyta; Magnoliopsida; Malvales; Malvaceae
Description: long non-coding RNA (GRAI_LNC007109)
Source: RNAcentral
AAACAUCAAGUGCUUCAGCUUUGUCUGAUGUGUUGAACAAAGCGAAGCCAUACUUGGCUAUCAUAUCUCUGCAGUUUGGAUAUGCCGGGAUGUACAUCCUCUCCACCAUUUGCAUGAAGCAUGGCAUGAGUAAUUUCAUCCUCGCUACCUACCGUCAUGUUGUCGCCACCAUUGUCAUUGCACCCUUUGCCUUUGUCCUUGAAAGGUUCAUUUUUCUCCCCAAUCUCACUACACACUUUCAUGUAUAGACAUGUAUAUAUAAUCCCCAGCCUCGUUGCUGCCUUUGCCAUUCGUUUGUGUAUGCAGGAAAAUUAGGCCAAAGAUGACCCUGCCUAUCUUCCUCAGGAUUGUGGUUCUUGGCUUCCUGGAGUAUUGCUCUAAACUUAUUGCAUCUUUAUUGUGCAUUUACUAAAUGCAUGUCAUUUCUUGAUAUAUCUAUGGAUACAAUAUGAAGAAAUAGAGUUGACAGUGGAAUAUAUAUGCGCAGGCCAGUGCUUGACCAAAACUUAUACUAUCUGGGAAUGAAGUUCACAACAGCAACAUAUUCAUCUGCUUUCGUCAACAUGCUUCCUGCUGUUACUUUCAUAAUGGCCAUGAUUUUCAGGUAAAAUCCAUCACUUUCAUUAACAUAUGCCACCUCCCACUACACCACACCACAUCAGAUAACUUAAAAGGUUCCAUCAUGAUGUUCAUACCAUCGAUAAGAUUGAAGGAAACUAUCAUUUUUUAAUACGAGGAAUUAUUUAUGUCAAAUAGGUUGGAGAAAAUCAAUUUGAAGAAAAUACACAGUAUUGCAAAGGUGGUUGGAACUGCAAUCACAGUGGGGGGUGCAAUGGUGAUGACAUUGUAUAAAGGCCCCAUUAUUGACUUCGUCAAGUCAGGAGGAGCCACACACCAUAGCACUAAUACUGAAUCUGCAGAUCAACACUGGGUUUCUGGCACCAUUAUGCUUCUUGGAAGUAUCGCUGGCUGGUCAAGCUUCUUUAUUUUGCAAGUGAGUUGAAAUAUGUCAAGUCUCUUUCAAUAAACAAAAUUUAUUAAACUACUUUACUGUUUACGAGCUAACGUUAAUCGGUUAUUGUUUCUGGUUCAGUCCUUCACAUUGAAGAAGUACCCAGCAGAGCUCUCUCUUACAGCUUGGAUAUGUUUCAUGGGAACGGUGCAAGAUGCAGGGCUGUCAUUUAUCAUGGUUCGUGACCUAAGUGCCUGGAAAAUAGGCUUCGACUCCAGGCUUCUUGCUGCAUCUUACUCUGUAAGUCCCUUUUCUUACCAGCCAUGAUGCUCUCGAAAAGUGUUACGAAUCACAAGUGCUUAACACUUCAAUAUAACCUAUGAUUGAUUAGGGAAUAGUGUGCUCCGGGAUAGCCUAUUACGUGCAAGGCAUCGUGAUCCGGCAAAGAGGGCCGGUUUUUGUAACAGCUUUCAGCCCCCUGUGCAUGAUCAUCACUGCUGCGCUAGGGACCGUUAUUUUAGCUGAAAAAAUCCACCUUGGAAGGUAUGUAUGAUAUUAACAGCAGUCUAAAAUUUCCUGCAUUAAACAAUUAGUGUUCUAAUUCUCUGCUUUUAUUAACCAUCCAUUAAACAAUUUAGAAGUCUUAUUCAUUUAGUGGAUUUCUGCAUUGGUAUUCCUUGUUUCACAUUGCUCAUUUGUUUCUUCUUUAUCUUUUGAUUGGUUGAUUUCAGCAUACUGGGAGCCAUUAUCAUAGUCUCAGGCCUUUACACUGUGGUUUGGGGCAAAAGCAAAGAUGUGAAAACCCCAGAACUUGAAGGGAAAAGCAACGGCCUGCAGGAAUUGCCAAUCACAGACAAUGGUAGAUCAAUGAAUGUUGUUGAUGGAGCUGCGAAUGCUGUUAACAUUCCGGAUUCAAAGAACACCUACAGCACUCGAGGAACAUAAAACAAUAUUGAUAUUUCCUUCAAAAUGCUGAUAUAUUUCAAGCAGAGUUUGUUCUUCCCAAGGCGAUAAAAAACUACUAUGUAACCCACCCCUCCCACAAACUAUUUUCUACCUUUAAUAAUCAUCUUUUGAUUGUACUGUUGAGGCUAAUUUGGUGAGUAAAAACCAUGAAUCAAUCGCGGUUUGCUUAUGCUUUCCCCCAAUUAUUCCAUUUCCGUACUUCUUUUUUUCUUUUUGGCUUAAGCUCAUCGGAUACUAUAACAAAAAGAUCUACUGCAAAAGUCAAAAUAACUUGCUCCAUGAAUUUUACUGCUAUCUCAAACUUUCCACGUUCAUCAUUUGUUCAAGCGUAUGGAGCUUUUUUUGCUUCUUUUUCACAUCCUGAUAGCUACAUUGCUAUAUAUUUGCUCUUCUUGUUUAUGACUUCGCAAGGUGAAGAUAUAAAAGCUAAAAGAAAAGGUUAAAUUCUGCAAUUAGUCCCUGCACUUUGAGAAAGUUGUGGGUUUAAUCCAUGUACUUUAAUUUGAUUAUUUCUAGUCCCUGUACUUUUCAAAAUUUAAAUUUUCAGUCGUAAUCAAACAAUAACUGUUAAAUUCAUUAACUUCUGCUAUUUCUAAAAUUUGAUCUCCAAAUAUAUUAUCAUGUGUGUAAUACCAUGUCAACUUGUUAUUUCCACAUAUUACUCACUAAAAAUCCAGUUGAUGGAUUAACGACGGUCAUUUAUGUCAAGACUGAAAUUUUAAAAUUCAAAAAGUAAAGAGACUUAGAAUGAUCCAAUUAAAGAAUACAAACCAAAUUUACAAUUAUACGUGUGGUACAAUACUAGUAAUUACAACUAUUUGAGUAAGGACUAAAAUUAACCAAUUAAAAACAACUAGGAUUGAAAUUGAUCAAAUUAAAGCAUAAGGGCUAAAUUCACAAUUAAGAAAAUAGCUUAAACCCAUUAUUGGUUUUUAACUAUUUAAUCAUACCAACGUGAUAAUGUUUGAUACAUUGAUGGUAUAUAAUCUAAUCCAACAAUGCAUUAAAUAUAAAUCCAUUAGAAGGUUGCAUUCCCACGUUCUUCCUAAUAAACUUAUUUUAAUAGCAACAUUUUCUUUUACUGGAAGUCAUUCCAGUCGCUCAAUUGCUUGCUUAAACCCCGUUGCUGGUUUUUAAUUGUUUAAUCAUAUGGAACAUUCCACUUUGUUUAUGAUUAACCUAUUUUAAUAGCAGUAUUUUCAUUUUACGAAACUGAUUCACUUGAAAACAUUUUUUUCUUAAAUUUAAUUUUAUGGAUUCUUAUUCUCCGCUAUAUAUCUCCCUUAAUUGCGGUUGUUGGUUCUUGGGAAUGUCACACAAACAUACCUGCAGACAAGUCUUCACUAAAAGAAUGGAAACGCAAGCCUCUGCGUACACUCCACAUGAUGGUAUUUUGAAUAAGAAGUUGGAAUACUAUGCAUAAAGAAACUAGACAAGUGGGUUGCAGCUUCUAAUGCUAUUUCAUCACAACAAAUUGGUAGGGGCUAUAAUAAAGGAGUCAAGAAUUGACAAUUCUAAGUUGGAUACCUAGUUUUAAGGUGUUGUGAAGCAAUACCAAACUAGCAGGAGAAUGCAAAAAAACUCUCACCAACACUUGGGAAAACAAUGUUGAACUUUCACGAGAUUAGUGGUGCUUAUACAAGCUUAAGAAUUCACAACUAUACCAAUAGGCAUGAUACCAUUUAUGCAAAAAACUACAAUAUUCAGUACUUUUAAAUAUACACUAGCCAUGUUUAGGCUUAUAUUCAAAUUACUACCAUAUUAUCUAUUAGUAAAUCUUACUCUAUAACUUUCUCCAUAUUUCCUUUUGAAACUUUAACUAUAAUAUCGUUUUGCUUUGACGGUGAAUUCUUUUUACUAUGAAAUUGUACUGUGUACACUAUGUAUUCGGCCUGGAAGAUCAUAUUAAUUAACUAAAAUCACUCUUAAAGAGAAGAUUCCUCCCCCACACAUCAAUUACAUGCCUUAACCCAGUAUUUUAAUACUCAUCAUUGUAUUCACUGCCCCCACUCAUAUUUCAACAACAUUUUUGGUCCAACAGAUAUUUAGUGAAAUGCGGAUUCUAUCUCCCAUGAAUUCAAAUAAGUAACUUGGUUGUGUAUUAAUAAUCUUUGAACCAUUUAUUUUGAUUAAAAGUAUUUGAAUUUUAUCAUGUCAUAUUUAAAUAUACGUCAUGAUGGACACGAACAUUUUAAAAUAAAACUUGAUAGAUAAGGAUAGGUAAGGCAUAAUAAAAGGAUGUUUUUUUUUUCUGAAAGAUGCAAAACAAGUGGUUGCUCCAAAUUUGUGCUACGUAAAAAGGGUAGCAAUUUAUUGAGAGUGAAGUGAAAUGAAGAGACAAGAAGCAGGGGCAGGAAUAAGAAUAGUUGUAUGUUAUUUUUAUGCAAACAUUCGAAGCUAUAUUGAGAAGAUAUAAAGUGAGAGAUGCCUAAUCUAAUUAGUGAUUAUUAAUCAGCAACCACUUAAAUCCAAUUAUCAUCUUAAAUUCUUAUUAUUCUAAUCUUACGAAGAAUUCCAGAUAUCCGAACUUGAGCAAUAUUCAGUUUGGGAAGAUGCUCUAAGCAAUAUAAUGUUUGUCUAAUCAUAAAUAUAUUAUUCUUUGUCGACGUCACUUGCACUAAUUACAUUAGUUUUGUUCUCUGUCCUUUCUGAAAGAUGCUACCAUUUCUAUAUUUCUAAGCUUACAAUUUAUUACCCCUUUGUAAAAACUCUAUUAACAAAUGGGUACGGUUCAACCAAUUAGGUUUCUAAUUUUCAGUUUAAAAUAUUAAAUGUAAAUAACGAUUGUGAACGGGGUUUAAAGUUAUACUAGUUGGGGAGAGGGGAUGACUCACCUUUAACUAGUUGAAGUGAUUGGUAUUAGAGAAUCACUUUUUUAAUUAAAACCUCUUCAGUUGGAUCGAGUUAUUGCGGAAUUGGAUUGUUUAUUGGUAUGAUUCUUGACGAUUGUUUUAUGUUACGAUCAUAUUUUAGAUCGUUGUCCUUCCAAUGGACUUGUUGGGAUGUUAAUAAAGUAGUCUUACUACAUGCAAACCACACUAAAUGAAAUAUACUCCCCACUAAAUACUUUGAUUACUAUUGAUUUGAUUCUUUGAUGCAUCAUGAGAAUAAAGGACCACGAAUGAAAUGUAUGGGAUAAAUCUAUUGACUUGGGUUAAUUAUCCCUCGCCUAUGUCUCUUGUGUUUGCUUUUAUUUUUACCAAUCAGUUGCCAUGAGUUCUACCAAAUCAGUUUUUUAACUGACAAUAAAAAAAAGAAUUGGAAAGUGAAAACAAGGAGACCAUAAUGAGGGUGAAUUCCGUGAGUAACUGGUUUUAGGGAAGCAGUUGAUUUUGGAAAUGGUAGCCACGCAAAAGCCACAUUGUUUCUUUCUGCAUGCAACAUCCGCACUUAACCUAAACAUAAUUUGGUUGUUCAAUGAAUCCAAACCCCACUUCCCAUGAUAAAUAGUGUAAUUAAAUUAAACAAACGAGAAGUAAAAGGAAAGCAAAAGGCAAAAGAAUCAUAUGAACAGAUAGCCACAUAAACACCCGCCUUUUUUUAUUUUAUUCUUUUGAUUUUCAUCAGCAAAGCGAUGGUAUUCGAAAUGAUUUGUGAUAAUGAGGAAUUUUUUAAUCUUUAUUAGUGGAUAAGUGAGUUUUACAUUUAUGGGAAACACUACACUUGCUUCUAUUAAUUUAUUAUUAUUAUUUUGUGUUUGCAUUUUUCUCCCUAUAAGAAGGCCAAUUCUGAUUUAUAACUUCCAAGCCUCAGUGCAAGCGGUGGUGGAGAGAUAGAAGAGAGAAAAAUGGGGGACCAAACAUCAGGUGCAGCAGCUUCCUCUAAUGUGUUGAACAAAGCGAAGCCAUACUUGGCUAUCAUCUCCCUGCAGUUUGGAUAUGCAGGGAUGUACAUCCUCUCCACCAUUUGUAUGAAGCAUGGCAUGAGUAAUUUCAUUCUUGCUACCUACCGUCAUGUUGUCGCCACCAUUGUCAUUGCACCCUUUGCCUUUUUCCUUGAAAG